AUGAACGCUGGCGGCGUGCCUAAUACAUGCAAGUCGAGCGCACAGACGAGGAGCUUGCUCCUCUGACGUUAGCGGCAGACGGGUGAGUAACACGUGGAUAACCUACCUAUAAGACUGGGAUAACUUCGGGAAACCGGAGCUAAUACCGGAUAAUAUAUUGAACCGCAUGGUUCAAUAGUGAAAGACGGUUUUGCUGUCACUUAUAGAUGGAUCCGCGCCGCAUUAGCUAGUUGGUAAGGUAACGGCUUACCAAGGCAACGAUGCGUAGCCGACCUGAGAGGGUGAUCGGCCACACUGGAACUGAGACACGGUCCAGACUCCUACGGGAGGCAGCAGUAGGGAAUCUUCCGCAAUGGGCGAAAGCCUGACGGAGCAACGCCGCGUGAGUGAUGAAGGUCUUCGGAUCGUAAAACUCUGUUAUUAGGGAAGAACAAAUGUGUAAGUAACUAUGCACGUCUUGACGGUACCUAAUCAGAAAGCCACGGCUAACUACGUG
RNAcentral lists this ribosomal RNA (496 nucleotides) under uncultured bacterium. Its description in RNAcentral is "partial 16S ribosomal RNA". It matches the Rfam family "Bacterial small subunit ribosomal RNA", at positions 29 to 507 of the family's 1533-position model. The record is from RNAcentral.